AUUCAUCUGGCUCAGUUGGUAGAGCAUGGUGUUUGCGACGCCAGGGUUGUGGGUUCGAUUCCCACGGGGGACC
RNAcentral lists this transfer RNA (73 nucleotides) under Salmo salar (Atlantic salmon). It matches the Rfam family "tRNA". Rfam says of the family: Transfer RNA (tRNA) molecules are approximately 80 nucleotides in length. Their secondary structure includes four short double-helical elements and three loops (D, anti-codon, and T loops). Further hydrogen bonds mediate the characteristic L-shaped molecular structure. tRNAs have two regions of fundamental functional importance: the anti-codon, which is responsible for specific mRNA codon recognition, and the 3' end, to which the tRNAs corresponding amino acid is attached (by aminoacyl-tRNA synthetases). tRNAs cope with the degeneracy of the genetic code in two manners: having more than one tRNA (with a specific anti-codon) for a particular amino acid; and 'wobble' base-pairing, i.e. permitting non-standard base-pairing at the 3rd anti-codon position. The record is from Rfam by way of RNAcentral. Lineage: Eukaryota; Metazoa; Chordata; Actinopteri; Salmoniformes; Salmonidae.